This is a long non-coding RNA of Homarus americanus (American lobster), 517 nucleotides long. RefSeq lists it as uncharacterized. NCBI's taxonomy places the organism in Eukaryota, Metazoa, Arthropoda, Malacostraca, Decapoda, Nephropidae. The transcript has 2 exons. The record is from RefSeq and is a predicted model, not a curated record.
UGAGCUGUGACCCCUUGUGGGGCGAGCGUCCGCAGCUCCAAGACUUCGUCACUCGUAAUGGCAGCAGAAUCAACACCCAAACCCACUAUGCUAUGCCUCUUAUGUCUAUGACAGCUGACAGGAAGCUUUACAUCCGUGACCAUCCUGGCACCCGGAGUUACGAAGGGUGGGGGGGAGGAGUAUUGUAGGGGACACCCUACAAAAUCUCACGAUCAAGCACUCACCUGAUCCACACAUUGAUUCGGCAUCAGCAUUUUUGUCAACCAUGGGCGAGAUCACGAUCGAGCACUCUCUCCUGAUCCAAAUGCCGAUUGGCUAUUGGACUAGCCAAGGACAACGCUGCUGGACCAAUCACAGACCACAACUCAGGUAUACAGGUAUAAUCACGUGACAGCAGCUAACUAGAUCAUCAAUCCUCUCCAGCCACAGAAGCAACAACUCCUCUCUCCCAGCACCAGACUAACUGCAGCUUCCAGCACUCUGCUGUUAUUCUAUAGAAUAAACUUUAUUUUUAUUC